UUCAUCUAUAAAAGGAGCUAUUCCAUACACCUUAAAACUCAAAAGUGGUACCUUCAUCAUUCACAUAUGCCCAUUCCUGACACAUCUUUUAGAUGAUUCUUUGAUUUGGAUGUUCUAAGAAGAUGCACGAAACGUAUCAAGCGUGAGGGGUUUCUGUGCGAUUCUUGUCAAGUGAGCAGUCUUUGCGGUUCAUCUCUUUUUCGUUGUCUGUUCGACCUUGAUUAUCUUAUAUACAUAUCUGCACCCCUAGUUUUACAGAUUAUUUUCUUGCUCUAACACAAUUUUUUGGUCCCUUUCAAUCAUAUAUCCUGAUAUUCAAUUCGAUCUAUAUUUUCAUAGAAGUACCGAUUAACCAACCUCUAGCUCCCCCGUUUUUUAUAACCUAGCUUUGAUCUCGUUAGGCAUAGUUAUAAACUACCAAUCUAGUUAUAUACAAACAAAAAAACGACGAACCAAAUAAACAAACGCACCUUAUAAGAUCCCACUUAUAGCAUGGUCCGGGAAAAGGUGAGAUAAGGACAAACUUUUUCUCUAUCACAUGACUAGGGUGUAAAUGAGUCGAGCCCGAGUUCGAGCUCAUUCAACAUGCGAGAGCUUAAGUUCAAGCCCGGCUCAAUUCGAACUCAUUUCUAAAAUUCGAGCUCAGCUCGUGACAAGUUUUUCAUACUCGAACCCGAUCAUUUAUUUAGUUAAUUUAUACACAUUUAUAAUUAACAUUUUUUAUAUUUAAUCAUUGCAAAUUUAUAUAUAGUAAUAACUAUUAUAUAAAUAUGUUGUAUAUAAAUAAAUUUAUGUUAACAAGAUAGAUAAGUGAAGUUGUGGCUUGGAAUCGUAUUAAACAAGCUUAUUUUUAGAGUCGGGCUUAGGCCUUAGCUCCAAUAAACUUGGCUCUGAUCGACCUUUUAGCGGGCCCAACUCAAGUAGCUCACGAGCGGUUUAGCUCGUUUAAACCCCUACGCAUGACUAACCAACUAAUUACAAACAAUGACCAUUUUUGCAAAUCUAGCAUAUAAGUGUAUUAUUAGAAUAAACUAGCUAUAGGUAGCGUUCAUUUCACGAAAUAAAAUGGAAUCUUAAUUGAAUUGGAAUGCUGAUUUUGUUUCUUAUUUUGUUGGUUUCAAUAAAAAAUUUAAUUGGAAUUUAUCAACAUAAAAAAGGAAAUCGAGAGUCUAAUUUCAUCCGGAUUACAAUUUAUUCUGUGAAACAAACACAUAUAAAUUCAAAUGAAAUUUCAAUUUCGACACGAAUUCCAAUUCUAGUUUUAUUAAAUUCAUGAAACAAACUACCUAAGGUUCGCUACCGAGUUGAGACUUCCAUGUGUAUAAGACCACCCGUAGUGGGGCGUUUUUUAUAAAAAAAAAAUCAAAGAAAACGCCUAAUCACGCCCAUAGCCCAUUACGGGGUGGCGUUUUGUGGCGUGUUCCGAGCCAAAAAUUGUUUUGGCGUUUUUGUAAUCACGCCUUAGCCUGCAUUCUCAUUUCCAUUUUAGCCAAUAAGAAUAUUCCACCUAAUUUUUAGUUUAGUUUACUUUUAUUUUUUUAAAUAAUUGGGUAAUCAUUGAUGGGGCAUUAUUGGGCAUUAUUCCACUACGCCUAUUUGUGAAAAACGCCCGUAAUGCCCAUUUACUGACUGGGAUGACACGUGUCGCACAACGCCCAUGAAUGGGGGCAUUAUUCAUGUGUACCACUACCCAUUACAUGUUCUAAUAAAGUUACCACUUAUGCAUGAGAUUCCUCAUAAUUAAAGGUGAUCGAUACUUCCAAGUAUCGAAUGAUUUAUUAGUUACGUCAUGAGUGAAUGCCAAUAAAGUUACCACUUAUGCAUGAUUCCUCAUAAUUUGUUUAGAAGAAAUAAUAAUGUUGCUAAUUUUGUUUGGUAAUUUAUAGGAAAUAUCUGUACGGGCUAAUAUUUUAUUAGGCACUUUUUAUAUACAAAUUUUAAACGGUUAUAAUAGAAGGGAUUCCACUAUUUCCUCACCUACUGUAUCCUCACCUACCCACGUACACCAACAAAGAAAAAUAAGCUUUCUUGAAUUUUGAUAAUGACCACUCAAUAUUUCUAUAAUAUUCACCCUUUCCAUUUUCUCUGCACAUAUUUUAAUACGUGUAUUAAUUUACCAUCAACAAAUAUCCAACAUAUUAUA
This 2143-nucleotide long non-coding RNA is filed under the name Helianthus annuus (common sunflower). Lineage: Eukaryota; Viridiplantae; Streptophyta; Magnoliopsida; Asterales; Asteraceae. The record is from RNAcentral.